GUUGUCCCCACAACAGCAACUUAAACUCCCCAGUUUUGUUCCUUUCAGGAACAACUGUAGCAGACCAGUUUGCCUUCCUGGGCACGAUCUCUCUGAAGCUCAAUCUGGGAUAUCCAGAUGGAGACAUCCAGUCUUGCCAACCUUGCUGCCACCUCGCCCAAGAUAUUCUCUUCCCACUGUAUCAAACAUUUCCUCUUGCCUCCUGUCACCUCCCUCCCCUCCAACUCUUCCUCUGCCCAGCAUUUGCCUGGCUGUCGGAACUUGUUUCCUGUCAGUCGCAUCUCCCUAAGCCUAGAUACACCCCAGUGCAGUAUUCCUGACAGAACAAUGUGAUGUGGUGAUGCAAGAGCCCGAGGUGUCAAAUUGGGCUACUAAAGCAGGGGAAGGUUAGAAUUUCUUCUGUCUGGAAGGACAAACACGCGCACAAAGAGAAAAGCUAAACAAGGAAGCCAAUUUCCCAUCCCUUGUCUUUCCCUUGCCUCUCGGUCCUGAUCCCAAAGCCCCGUACCGUACCUACAACAGAUCUUCUCUGGACUAAGAACCCACUUGACUUAGAAGGAGCAGCUAGUUUGAGCACUAAAGAACAGGACAUUUUCAAGGUUUCAACACACUCCUUGUUUUGUCUUUCUUGUUUGUUUUUACAUCAGCCCCACCCUAAGCUCCUGCUGGUGCAAUGGCUUCAGCUAGUGGCUCAAUGCCAUGGAAGGGACAUUGCUCAGAAGGGGCUGUGGGUGCUCAGGGCAAUCUCCUCCCAGGAAACCAAGCCCCCUGAUCACCUUCCCCUGGCUCUUACUUGUUCAUUUAUUUGACACUCAACACUUGUUAAGAUCCUGCUAUAUCUUAGAGAUUUUGCUUGGAGCAGGGAAUGGGAGUGGAGAGAAUGCAGAGAUCAACAUGGAAUGGCUCUGUCAUCCAGGAGAUCACCGUCUAGUGAGAAAGUUGGAUAUAUAGGCCAAUAUCAUGGUCUACUGUGAUGAUGGGGCUCUAACUGAGGUCUGAAUGCAGUUCUAGAGGCCUCAGAAGAGAGUGUGACCAACCCCUCUAGGGAUCUAGGAGCAGUGACUGAGGAGGUGAUAUUCGAAUGACAGCCUGAAGGAUGAGUAAGCUUUUUCCAAACAGGCAGGAGAAGCAGGGCACUGUAGGCAGAGGAACAGCAUAUUCAAAGGUGGGAGGGGUAAAAGAACAUAUUGUUUUCCGAGAAUAUGGAGUUCACGGAGACUAAAAUCCCGUCUAUGCUGGGGGUAGGUGGAAAUGGAGGAGAUCUCUCUGAAUAAGUUGAUUGGGGCAAGACUGGAGGUGUUCUUAACAAGAUGCCAAGCAGUGUGGCCUGUCGUGUGGGCACCACAGUACCAAUAAGAUGUUUGGGCAGAGUAGAAAUGUGAGUAGAUCUCUGUGGCAGCGGCAGGAACUCUCUUCCCCAAUCACCUUCCUGCUGGUGACCCACACUCUCUGGUUUCAUCUCAUUAACCUUCAGUCCUACUCUCCUCACCAGUAAAAAAGGGCAGCUUUCAGCGCCAACCUCUUUCCAGAAAGAGUUUCCCCUCAGAUGACUGACUCCAGGGAGCUGGGGCUCUUCCACCCACGGCUCGGACGUCCGGACGUCCAUAUGAGGUGGGACAGUGAGUGGUGAGGCAAAGAGCUUUGGCUUCCGAUAAUCCUGGUUUUGAAAGUUGGCCCUCUGCCUUUUAUGAGCUUUAUUAUCUUGAGCAAGUUACUUCUCUCUUCUAAAGCUUCAGUUUAUUCUUUGAAAAAUGGGCUUGAAGGAUACUAAUGCCUUCCUCAUUGCAUGUCCUCCAGGAGGCUUGAUUUGUAGCACCUGGAAAUGCUUUAUCAGUUGGGCGUGCGAUAGGCCUGUCCAAUUGGUGUUUCUCAGCCCUGUUACUUAACACACCCACAUGACUUUGACAGUGCUGCCCAAAGGCCCAGGCAAGAGGGCCCUGGCUUUCCUUUUGAGGACAGGUACCACCGCAUAACCCAAACACAAAAACAAAUAAAUCUGAAGAAGAAGACAUGGGCACUUCUGUCAUUCCAGAUCCAGUACUCAGAGCUGGCACAGCAAGACUCUUCACCAAAAACACCCCUUCUUGUUACAAACACCAUUAGGCCCCCACAUCUUCAGAUCUUUUGCCCGAUGUCCUUGAACAUAAGACAACUCUGUCUGGAUGCUGUGAAAGUUUACACGUUGUGCCAUUACCGGCUUUGCAGAAGAAUACUGCUUUGGAGAACAGAGAGGAUUUGAAUGGUUAAACACUUAGGUCUUUGCGUUUCACGGAUGAGGAAGCAGCAGGAUCUAGGAGAAAGCAAUGAACUGGGAAUCAGGAAACCUGUGCCACCACUGACGUGCUGUGUGCUCUCCGAGCACUUAACUUUUCUGAGUCUCAGUUUCCUCACAAGGAUGACCAUGGGAGCCCAGGCUUGAUUGGAGGAUCCGAUGAGAUCAUGGAUGUGAAGCACUUUGUAACAUUAGACAAAUAGGAGGUGCUAAUAUGAUGAUGCCUGCUUUAAGUGCUUUUUCUGAAGCGAAUCAAGGUCAUUAUUCUCUGUUUCGAGAUGCUGAAAUCAAGGCAGAGAGAUGUGAAGGGACAUGGAUCCCGCUUCAUAGUGCCUGGACCAAGAGGUCUCCCUACAUUGGGAGGACUUCAGUGGCUGCCCAUGGCCUGGUACUUCCUCUCCUUCUGAGAAUGGCACCAUUACAUAACUGUCUGGGGCGGUGCCCCAGACCACAGAGAUUUUCCUUCUGCCCAGCUGCAUGAGGUACACCUAUUUUGGGAUGGAAUCAGGAAGAUGGCCACUUUCACACCAACUGGGGUGCCCUAGCACCUACCUCUCUUCUUCCCACACUCCCACUGCCCACCCUCCACUCCCCACCCCCUGCUGUUGGUAUGGGCUCUGCUCUAGGGCAAAGGGCUCAUCCUCUUAUGCUCCCUCA
Long non-coding RNA from Equus asinus (donkey), 2929 nucleotides. The record is from Ensembl. Lineage: Eukaryota; Metazoa; Chordata; Mammalia; Perissodactyla; Equidae.